GUGCAUGGUUGUCGUCAGCUCGUGUCGUGAGAUGUUGGGUUAAGUCCCGCAACGAGCGCAACCCUCGUUCCAUGUUGCCAGCACGUAGUGGUGGGGACUCAUGGGAGACUGCCGGGGUCAACUCGGAGGAAGGUGGGGAUGACGUCAAAUCAUCAUGCCCCUUAUGUCUUGGGCUUCACGCAUGCUACAAUGGCCGGUACAAUGGGUUGCGAUACUGUGAGGUGGAGCUAAUCCCUAAAAGCCGGUCUCAGUUCGGAUUGGGGUCUGCAACUCGACCCCAUGAAGUCGGAGUCGCUAGUAAUCGCAGAUCAGCAACGCUGCGGUGAAUACGUUCCCGGGCCUUGUACACACCGCCCGUCAAGUCACGAAAGUUGGUAACACCCGAAGCCGAUGGCCUAACCACCUUGUGU
This 410-nucleotide ribosomal RNA is filed under the name Glutamicibacter uratoxydans. RNAcentral describes it as "bacterial SSU rRNA". It matches the Rfam family "Bacterial small subunit ribosomal RNA", at positions 1041 to 1449 of the family's 1533-position model. Lineage: Bacteria; Bacillati; Actinomycetota; Actinomycetes; Micrococcales; Micrococcaceae. The record is from RNAcentral.